AUUUACAGUCAAACCACCCUGAAGGUGCCUGAUCUUUCUGAUUUCGGAAACUAAGCAGGGACAGGCCUGGUUAGCACUUGGAUGGGAGAAUAUAUCAGCAUGCCAGGACCUCUUGCUGCUGCAAAAA
RNAcentral lists this ribosomal RNA (127 nucleotides) under Jaculus jaculus (lesser Egyptian jerboa). Lineage: Eukaryota; Metazoa; Chordata; Mammalia; Rodentia; Dipodidae. The record is from RNAcentral.